RNAcentral lists this ribosomal RNA (301 nucleotides) under uncultured Pseudomonas sp. RNAcentral's name for it is "bacterial SSU rRNA". It matches the Rfam family "Bacterial small subunit ribosomal RNA", at positions 1085 to 1382 of the family's 1533-position model. Lineage: Bacteria; Pseudomonadati; Pseudomonadota; Gammaproteobacteria; Pseudomonadales; Pseudomonadaceae. The record is from RNAcentral.
CGCCGUAACGAGCGCAACCCUUUGUCCUUAGUUACCAGCACGUUAAGGUGGGCACUCUAAGGAGACUGCCGGUGACAAAACCCGGAGGAAGGUGGGGAUGACGUCAAGUCAUCAUGGCCCUUACGGCCUGGGCUACACACGUGCUACAAUGGUCGGUACAAAGGGUUGCCAAGCCGCGAGGUGGAGCUAAUCCCAUAAAACCGAUCGUAGUCCGGAUCGCAGUCUGCAACUCGACUGCGUGAAGUCGGAAUCGCUAGUAAUCGUGAAUCAGAAUGUCACGGUGAAUACGUUCCCGGGCCUU